AUUGAACGCUGGCGGCAGGCCUAACACAUGCAAGUCGACCUUAGUGGCGAACGGGUGAGUAACACGUGGGUAACCUGCCCAUCAGACGGGGAUAACACUUGGAAACAGGUGCUAAUUCCGUAUACCGAUGGACGGACCCGCGGUGCAUUAGCUAGUUGGUGCGGUAACGGCUCACUAAGGCCACGAUGCAUAGCAGACGUGGGAGGGGGAUCGGCCACAUUGAAACUGAGACACGGCCCAAACGCCUCCGGAAGGCAGCGGUAGGGAAUCUUCGGCAAUGGACGAAAGUCUGACCAAGCAACGCCGCGUGAGUGAAGAAGGUUUUCGGAUCGUAAAACUCUGUUGUUAGAGAAGCGGUAUCUAACCAGAAAGCCACGGCUAACUACGUGCCAGCAGCCGCGGUAAUAC
This 408-nucleotide ribosomal RNA is filed under the name uncultured bacterium. Its description in RNAcentral is "partial 16S ribosomal RNA". It matches the Rfam family "Bacterial small subunit ribosomal RNA", at positions 30 to 526 of the family's 1533-position model. The record is from RNAcentral.